CUGGCUCAGGACGAACGCUGGCGGCGUGCUUAACACAUGCAAGUCGAGCGAUGAAGCUCUUCGGAAGUGGAUUAGCGGCGGACGGGUGAGUAACACGUGGGUAACCUGCCUCAUAGAGGGGAAUAGCCUUCCGAAAGGAAGAUUAAUACCGCAUAAGAUUGUAAUAUCGCAUGAUAUAGCAAUUAAAGGAGCAAUCCGCUAUGAGAUGGACCCGCGUCGCAUUAGCUAGUUGGUGAGGUAACGGCUCACCAAGGCGACGAUGCGUAGCCGACCUGAGAGGGUGAUCGGCCACAUUGGGACUGAGACACGGCCCAGACUCCUACGGGAGGCAGCAGUGGGGAAUAUUGCACAAUGGGGGAAACCCUGAUGCAAGCAACGCCGCGUGAGUGAUGACGGUCUCCGGAUUGUAAAGCUCUGUCUUCAGGGACGAUAAUGACGGUACCUGAGGAGGAAGCCACGGCUAACUACGUGCCAGCCGCCGC
This 482-nucleotide ribosomal RNA is filed under the name uncultured bacterium. Its description in RNAcentral is "bacterial SSU rRNA". It matches the Rfam family "Bacterial small subunit ribosomal RNA", at positions 19 to 518 of the family's 1533-position model. The record is from RNAcentral.